CAGAGGUCUCGAGCGUUAGGCGGAAUCACUGGGCUUAAAGCGUGUGUAGGCGGAUUGGUAAGUACCUUGUGAAAUCCCACGGCUUAACCGUGGAACUGCUUGGUAUACUGCCUGUCUUGAGCCAGCUAGGGGCGACCGGAACAAAUGGUGGAGCGGUGAAAUGCGUAGAUAUCAUUUGGAACGCCAAUGGUGAAAACAGGUCGCUGGGGCUGUGCUGACGCUGAGACACGAAAGCCAGGGGAGCAAACGGGAUUAGAUACCCCGGUAGUCCUGGCCGUAAACGAUGUCGACUAGAUCGCAGUUCCUUCAACGGAAUUGCGGUCGAAGCAAAAGUGCUAAGUCGACCGCCUGGGAAGUACGGUCGCAAGGCUA
This 372-nucleotide ribosomal RNA is filed under the name uncultured organism. RNAcentral describes it as "bacterial SSU rRNA". It matches the Rfam family "Bacterial small subunit ribosomal RNA", at positions 526 to 896 of the family's 1533-position model. The record is from RNAcentral.